GUGCCUGUAGUCUAGUGGCUAAGAUACAUGACUUGGACCCCUGAGGUUGGUGGUUCAAGCCCAGGCCUAGAACA
This is a non-coding RNA of Albula goreensis, 74 nucleotides long. NCBI's taxonomy places the organism in Eukaryota, Metazoa, Chordata, Actinopteri, Albuliformes, Albulidae. The record is from the annotation of a GenBank genome assembly.